Dicentrarchus labrax (European seabass) is the source of this 286-nucleotide long non-coding RNA. RefSeq lists it as uncharacterized. Lineage: Eukaryota; Metazoa; Chordata; Actinopteri; Moronidae. The transcript has 4 exons. The record is from RefSeq and is a predicted model, not a curated record.
CUUGAGGCAGGAGCUGACUUCCAGAAGCUCCUGUACAGUGCCCGCAGUCAUUGGCCCAAUGUCUUUGUCUUGGACUUUGUGCCACGUCUGACUGUUGAUCCUCAGCUACAAGAGUUCAUGCGUCAAGUGUUCCAUCGAGUGGCAGCAAGAAUGGGUAUCAAGUACUUCUCGUCUUCUGGCCACUUCCCUUUGAACAACUUGGACCUGUGGAGCCCAGAUGGUGUUCACUUGAGUGAUGGCGAAGGCAUGGUGGUCCUCACUCGUUUGCUGUGGGCUGCAGCUUACG